Molecule: non-coding RNA, 75 nt
Filed under: Desulfoplanes formicivorans
Lineage: Bacteria; Pseudomonadati; Thermodesulfobacteriota; Desulfovibrionia; Desulfovibrionales; Desulfoplanaceae
Description: c-di-GMP sequence
Rfam family: c-di-GMP-I-GGC riboswitch aptamer
Source: RNAcentral
GCGAACAAUGCCAAACCUGUCGCGAGGCAGGGACGGAAAGCCAUGGGUCUCACGGAGAUCGCCAGGUUGCCGGAU